CCAGAGAACUUAGCAGAGAUGCUUUGGUGCCUUCGGGAACUCUGAGACAGGUGCUGCAUGGCUGUCGUCAGCUCGUGUUGUGAAAUGUUGGGUUAAGUCCCGCAACGAGCGCAACCCUUAUCCUUUGCUGCCAGCGGUUCGGCCGGGAACUCAAAGGAGACUGCCGGUGAUAAACCGGAGGAAGGUGGGGAUGACGUCAAGUCAUCAUGGCCCUUACGGCCAGGGCUACACACGUGCUACAAUGGCGCAUACAAAGAGAAGCGACCUCGCGAGAGCAAGCGGACCUCAUAAAGUGCGUCGUAGUCCGGAUUGGAGUCUGCAACUCGACUCCAUGAAGUCGGAAUCGCUAGUAAUCGUAGAUCAGAAUGCUACGGUGAAUACGUUCCCGGGCCUUGUACACACCGCCCGUCACACCAUGGGAGUGGGUUGCAAAAGAAGUAGGUAGCUUAACCUUCGGGAGGGCGCUUACCACUUUGUGAUUCAUGACUGGGGUGAAGUCGUAACAAGGUAAGCGUAGCGAG
RNAcentral lists this ribosomal RNA (521 nucleotides) under uncultured bacterium. RNAcentral describes it as "bacterial SSU rRNA". It matches the Rfam family "Bacterial small subunit ribosomal RNA", at positions 988 to 1509 of the family's 1533-position model. The record is from RNAcentral.